UUUUUGCAAGACAUACCCAACACUGCUCUGAGUCUGAGAGAUAGUGUGAAUCAGUUCUUGCGACAGAAUCGUCCUGCUGGAAAGCAGUGGCUCUGUUUUCUGACUUAGUGAGCUUUCCGGUAGGCACAGCU
This 131-nucleotide small nucleolar RNA is filed under the name Ornithorhynchus anatinus (platypus). RNAcentral's name for it is "H/ACA-box snoRNA Oa1877". Lineage: Eukaryota; Metazoa; Chordata; Mammalia; Monotremata; Ornithorhynchidae. The record is from RNAcentral.